Molecule: long non-coding RNA, 3030 nt
Filed under: Mus musculus (house mouse)
Lineage: Eukaryota; Metazoa; Chordata; Mammalia; Rodentia; Muridae
Description: long non-coding RNA chr15:11035925-11038955
Source: RNAcentral
GGGUGGAUAGUAGAUCAGGUCAGGUUCGGCAGCAGCAUUAAGCGGCGCCAGGGCCUGCAGCCCGUGAUCUUCAGGUUCUGGCUUGGUGGUGGCGGUGAAAGGGCGCAUGUUGGUGAGCGAAGGCGAGGCUAUCCGCCACAGCAGGUUCUUGAGCGCCUUGCGGAACUCGCGGCGCACUAAGCAGUAGAGGAUCGGGUUGAGGCAGCUGUUGGAGUGCGCCAGGCACACGCUGACUGGGAACGCGUACACUUGGCACUGAAAGUACUCCUGGCUGAAGGGCACGGCGUUGAACUUGAUGAGGAUGCUCCAGGUGGUAAGCGCCUGGUUGGGCAGCCAACACAGGAAGAAGGAGAGGACGACGAUGGUCACCGACUUGGUGACCUUGGAGCGUCUCCUAGCGCUGGCUGUACUCAGGCCUCCCCCAGGCGCUGCUGCUGCUCCUACUGCAUCUGUUGUCCCAACUACGCGACGGUCGGAGAUGAAGCGCACAAGCAACAGGUAACACAGACUGAUGAUGCUCAGCGGCAGCAGGAAGCCCAGCAGCACCUUCUGCAGGUGGUACAAACCCAGCCAGAACUGCCUGUCCCAGCCCAGUAGCUUGUCUGGAAAGUGCAUGAGGCAGAGCUCCUCACCCAACACCCUGAUGGUGGUGGAAAAAAUGGCAUUGGGCAGCGAGGCCAGCGCAGCCGAAGCCCAGAUCAACCCACACAGCACCUUGGCUGAAAAACAGCAGCUCUCCCUCAAGCUCUGGCCGCAGCAGUCGCCACGGCCACGCCCUCGGGUCCGAUGGCUCUUGAGAGCCGAGGCCACCGAGUGGUAGCGCGCCACGCUCAUAGCAGUGAGGAAGAAGACGCUGGCGUACAUGUUCAUGGAUGUCACCAUGGACACGAUCUUACACAUGGCCUUGCCGAAGGGCCACUUGAAGUCUAGUGCGUUCUCCACAGCCCAAAAGGGCAGAGUGAGCACGAACUGAAAGUCAGUCAGUGCCAGGUUAGUGACAAAGAGGUUGAUGGAGGAUUUGCGCCAGCCUUGCUUGCUCUUCAUCAGGUAGAGAACCAGCAGGUUGCCGGCCAGUCCCAGGGCACAAACCACCCAGUAAACCGCGCUGAUGAGGAUCCGUACCCUGGCCUCAGUGUCUGUGCUCUCUGCCCCGCCGCCACCCGGAGGAUGCCCAGGCGCCGCACCGUCUGGCAACUCUAGCCCCAGCUCCCACCACAGAUCCUGAAGCUGCAGCGACGCAUUGCCGCUGGCGUUGGCCACUUCCAGCAAGUCUGGGGUCAGAGCGAAGAAUUCUGAGAGCUCAUCACCCGCAGCUGCUUUCCUCACGGUGGCCGCGGGGGUUGCAGAAGCCACCUGCAUGCUCAGGUGCGCCUUAGUCACGUUCUGCAAGCCGACUACCGAGAGUCAGCGCUUGCUCCGGGUGUGGUACCCAGGCGGGCGCGCAAAGCAGGUGCCUGAGCUUUCUAUGUAGACGCUCAAAAGGGCUCCUGGAAACUGGAUGCUGAGCCGCGUUGGCGCCCAGAACCGCCUUGGGCGCAGGGGUUGGCUGCACUCAGCAUCAGUUCUUGGUGGGUUUAGAAGAGAGGAUAGUUCUAGGCAAGUGGCUGGGGAUCAAGGUUCCUCCUGGUGAGAACUGAGUCUCCAGCUACCUACUCUAAGACUGAGUCAUACCCCUCUGCUUUCCUGCUGUCACUUAGAUGCAGUCCCCUACUCAGGAGCACGGCUCUCCCAGUACCUUUGUUGGCUUCUGAGGUUGCCCGGAGGAGUUUCUCUCCUUCUAGAGGAAAACAGAUCGUGGACAUCUGUGUCUCGCUCUGACUGCCUGAAGGCUGAUUCACGCCAUCACUUCCUGGAGCUCCGUUGGUGUUUUCUGUGUGUCCGAUAUUGUCAACCCCCAGUGAGUUGCCAGCGUUUGAUGAGUUACAUUGGCACCCACCUCUGCUGAGAGCCCCGAAGAGCUUGCAUAAUCUCCGUGCGAGAAGAUGGGGGUGCUUUCCGAAGUGCUGAACCCCGCGCGCCACGCAGGGAGAGGCAGAGUCUACUGGCAACUAACUCCCCUUUGUUCCAAGUUGCAGAAGGAGUGGUCUUAGUCUUUUAUUUUCUCGGUGUCUGGAGUGAGUCUGAGUCUGCUUUCUUCCUUUCUUAUUUUUAUUAGGACGAGGUUUUUUUUUCUCCUUUCUCCCCACCUUAACACAAUAGUUUGUUUCUCCCACUUACACAAUAGUAACACCCUUUGUUCUUUAAAUCAAAUAACCAAUCUUUUCCUAGUACUCAAACUGAAGCCCCAUCUCCCCUCUAAUUAGCUGAACACUUACCUGGUGUCAGAUUGGCAGAAUUCUAAGGGUUGAUGUUUGCCUGGAAUUGAGUAUAUUUUAAGAACUGAAGCUACAGGGGGCCGUGGGGAGGGGGAGACGUGUUACGUCUCAACUUUGCAGUUUAUUUAGAUGCCAGGUUAGUUGCUCUUAGAAGGACUUAAGGAAGCUGAAGUGUUUUCUUGACAGAAGAACUAACCUGAAAAACAAGUAUGCUAAGCAUGCAGUAAUUGCCCUCACUUCUGGGAUAAUACUUGACUUUACUAACAGUAAUUGGGGAUAUACGGACAGAUGGAGCGAAAGAGAUAAAGACUUGUAAUCAGUCAAAGGAACAAUAAAAGAGAAAAGAGGUCCUCGGCAACCUUAAACAGUCUUAAUUCCAAAGUGGACUUUAAAAGGGCACUUCGCUGCAGACGCUGCAUUUCUCGAUUUUACCAAUAGAGGUCGCAAGAGCUUCAGUAAAAAAAAAAAUCAACUGGCCUUCGAUCAGUUUUAAUAUGUUGAAGUUCUCUGCCCUGGUAAUUCUGUGCUUCUGUGGACCCCUCCUUGCAUCCUGGCUUUAUAGCCUCGCCUUCAAGCGCACGUUCUCACUUUAAAAAAGCGUUUUCUUCCUCUGCCAAUUUCUUUCUUUUUUAUUGUAUUUCAAGGGCUACUGAAAACCAAGGAAACCUGUGGUGAUACGGAAAGUCCUAUGCAGUAAAGGUCUUAGUCUGCUCAC